This 4628-nucleotide long non-coding RNA is filed under the name Canis lupus familiaris (dog). RNAcentral's name for it is "lncRNA (ENSCAFG00845018050.1)". The record is from RNAcentral. Lineage: Eukaryota; Metazoa; Chordata; Mammalia; Carnivora; Canidae.
UGGGGUUCAUGAGUUCAUUAUUUUAAAAAGCCCCCUAGAUGAUUCUGAUUGAUGCGAAAUAUAGAUUGGCCAAUGCUUUGAACAGCAUAUGAGAAGCACAAUGUCUGUUCAGAACACAAAAGCUCAUGUCCUCAUCAUUACACCACUUAAAGAAACAGUAGUGUAAAAGUUUCUAAUAGGGCAUUUCUAUCCUAGAAGCUCUAUUCUAUUAAGCUCUGAAAUAAUGUACUAUUUUGAAUUAGAAGCUAAUGAAAGAAUUCAAAGAACAUUUGAAAAGACAUUGUCAUGUUUUAUUGUUCAAAUGUUUCUUAUGAGAAUAUAUUUCUAAUUUAAGACAUAACGGUGUCUCUAACACUCCACAAGCUGGACAAGGGCAAAAUAAUUCCAACUAUUAAAACCAUCAUAAUGAUAAAUAAAUUAUAAGGCUGCUUAAAUUUCACUGAGGGAAAACUCCUUUUACAUAGAUGAUAGAAAUCCUGUAGCUCUAGUGGUAUCUGAACUGUUGUCACAAUUUAUCUUUUUUGGGUGCCUUGAACAUGACCACUUUUCUUAGGUUUUUGUCUUAACAUUCCUUAAAGGAUUCCAUUUAACAUCAUAUUGUUAUCUUUUAGUAUGUUUCUCACACACACACAAAAAAUAGUUUGCGGCAUGCAUCCUUCUCCCCUGAAAUGAGUACAUCGACAAGAAUAAGUACAUGCAAUUUAAGGAAGAACACUGGUAGAGAAGUAGAAAGACAAAGGCUUUAGGUAUGAUCAGGUGAGUCAGCAAUCUGAGAUUACUUUUCCACUUCUAAAUGGGAGAGUAAGGAACAAUAACAUUUAAAGCACAGUAGUGAGGCACCUGGGUGGCUCAGUGGUUGAGCAUCUGCCUUGGGGUCAGAUCAUGACCCCAGGGUACCGGUAUUGAGUCCCACAUCAGGCUCCCCACAGAGAGCUGCUUCUCCCUCUGCCUAUGUCUCUGCCUCUCCUUCUGUCAUGAAUAAAUAAAUAAAAUCUUUUAAAAAAGAAAAAGAAAAAAGAAACUCAAAGCUUUCUCACUAAGAUUAGGUACAAGCAAAAACAUCUCUUCUCCCCACUCCUUUUCAACACUGUCCUGGAAAUCCUAGUUAAUAGGAAUAGGCAAAACAAAAAAAGAUAGAUACAUGAUAGAUAGAUACAUAGAAAGGAAGAAAGGAAGGAAGGAAGGAAGGAAGGAAGGAAGGAAGGAAGGAAGGAAGGAAGGAAGGAAGGAAGGAAAUACAUAUUGGGAAGGAAGACAUAAAACUGUUCUUGCUUACAAAUGCCAUUACCGUCUAUAUAGAUGAUCCAAAAAGAAUCAACAAAAACAAAACAAAACAACAAUAAACCCUGAAACUAAUAAGCAAUUAUUACAAGGUUGUAAGAUGCAAAGUCAACAUACAAGUAAACUGCUUUCCUAUAUACUACCAAUGAAAAACUGGAAGUUGAAAUUAAAAACACAAUACCAUUUACAUUGGCACUGAGAAAACUGAAAUACUUAGGUAUAAAUCUUCCAGUAUAUGUAUAAUAUGUAUAUGAGGAAAACUAUAAAACUCUGAAAACCAAUGUCAAAGAAUUAUAAACAUGAAAAGACAUUUCAUGUUCAUGAAUAAGAAAACUCAAUAUUACAAGAUGUCAGUUCUUCCAAAAAUGAUCUAUAAAUUCACUGCAAUUCCAAUCAAAGUUCAAGCAAGUCACUUUAUGGAUAUCAACAUACUUUCUUAAGAGGCACAAAACCCAGAAUAAGCAACACAAUAUUGAUGGAAAAGAACAAAUUUGGGGGACUGACAUUACCCAACUUUAAGACUUAACAGAAAUUUACAGUAAUGAACAAGUAUGUUAUUGGUGAAAGAACAACCAGAUUAAGGGAACAGAAUAGAGAGCACAAAUGCAAUUUUAAAAAAGUGAAUAUAGAUACAGCCCUUGCAGUCCUCACAAAAAUGAACUUAAAAUGGAGCACAGAACUAAAUGUAAAACGAAGAUAUCCUUGAAGAUAUCCUUUAAGAUAACAUAGGAAAAAAUCUAGAUGACCCUGAAUAUGGUGAUGGCCUUUACCAUACAAAACCAAAGACAUGAUCCAUGAAAGAAAUAUUUGAUAACCUGGACUUCACUAAAAUUAAAAAACUUCUAUCUGUGAAAGAUAAUGUCAAGAAAAUUAGAAGAAAGCUGCAACGAGGCAAAAAUAUUUACCGAUCAUAUAUCUAAUAAGGAGUUAAUAGCCAUAAUAUAUGAAGAACUCCUACAACUCAGCAACAACAAAAAUACCCCUAUUAGAAAAAUGGCCAAGAUCUUGACUAGAGAUCUCUUCAAAGAUGACAUACAAAUAAUUGACAAGCAUAUGAAAAGAUGCCCAAUGUCACUGAUCAUCAAGAAACACAAAUCAAAACCACAAUGAGAUAUUAUUUCACAUCUAAUUAUUAUGCCUACUACCAAAAACAAGAUAAAACAAACAAAAAAGCAGAGUAAAUAUUGAUGAGGAUAUAGAGAAAUUAUAACCAUUGAGCAGUAUUGGUGGUAUUGCAAAAGAGUCCAACCACUAUUAACCAGUAUUGGGCUGUUAAAAAGAUUAAGAAAAGAACUACCAUAUGAUCCUGUAAUCCCAUUUAUGGGGUAUAUUAUAUGUAAAAGAUUUGAAAGCAAUUCAAAAAAUUCUAUAACUCUCUCUCCCAAAAAAGAAAAAAAAGAAAAAAUUUCUACAACUCAAAAAGAAUUGAAAGCAGGGUCUCUAAGAGAUAUCGGCAUAUUCAUGUUCAUAGCAGCACCAUUCACAAUAUCCAAGAGGUGAAGCAAUCCAAAUGUUUGUCAUCAGAUCAAUGGAUAAAUAAAAUGUGGCAUAUUCAUAAAAAAAAAAACAUUAUUCAGCCUAAAAAAGGAAGGAAAUCCAGUCACAUGCUACAAAAUGUGUAAAUCUGAGUAUAUUAUGCUAAGUGAAAUAAAUCAGUCACAAAAAGACAAAUAUGAUUCUGCUUUUUAGAGAUAUCUAAAAUAGUUAAUUUCAUAGAAACAGAAAAUAGGGGAUCCCUGGGUGGCGCAGCGGUUUGGCGCCUGCCUUUGGCCCAGGGCGCGAUCCUGGAUACCUGGGAUCGAAUCCCACGUCGGGCUCCCAGUGCAUGGAGCCUGCUUCUCCCUCUGCCUGUGUCUCUGCCUCUCUCUCUCUCUCUGUGUGUGUGACUAUCAUAAAUAAAUAAAAAUUAAAAAAAAAAAAAGAAACAGAAAAUAGAACGGCAGUUACCAGGAGGUAAGAGGAGGGAGAAGAGGAAAGUUAUUACUAAAUGAAUACAGGGUUUCAGAUUUGCAAGAUGAGAAAGCUCCAGAGAUCUAUUCCACAGCAACGUAAACAUACUUAACACUACUAAACUGUACAAUUAAUAGUUAAGGUAGUAAAUUUUAUGUAUUUUUUUACCACAAAAAAAUCAGAUGCUUAAAAAUUUGUGCACUCUGAAACAAGAUCAAUAAACUUUUCAGACUCUGUGGUCUAUAGUGCCUUUUAAUAUAUCUUUUUUCUAUGCCUGAUUUAAUAACAGCAUACACUGAUCAUUUAAAAAAAUACUUGUUCAAAUAAACUAAUAUGUGUUCACUGAGAUAUGCAGAUAAAACAAAUGUUGGUAUGUCAAGAAAUCAUAUUAGUUAAUAUUACCAUCAAUCUUACAGGAUUUUUUUUUUUUUUUAGUUUUGGAGAACUGUUAAGCUCACACUGUUAAGCGCAAAUAUUCCAAAAUUCUCAUUAUUUAAUGUAAAGCUCAAGUUUUAUCUUUGAUAAUAAAUGCCAUCAGUUAUUUAGUUAUUUAUUUUUUUGUAGUUGCAGGCUUAUUUUGCUCAUUUUCAAGAAUCUGUCUGUCAAAUAUCCUAGUCCCCAAAUCAUAUUGUCUAUUAUUCUUUCAGUGAAGUUUUUGUACCUUGAAAAAUGGGCUGAUUCAGCACAAAACUCACAUAAAUCUCACAUAUUCUUCUCCCCAAAGUCAUCAUUACACUUUGUUGAACAGAAGUUCUUUGUGCACAUCUUCCAUUUCACCUCAUAAAAUGUUAUAAAAAGUGAACUAAUAGGUCAAACACUAACAAAAUUAGUAAUUUUUACUUCUUUAUCAAGGACAUUUCUAAAUGAAACUGCCAUUUAAUUUUAAUGUGAGGGCAUGGCAAUAAAGAAUAAAAUGACUAGUAUAAUUUGGUGCCACUGUCUUUGUUCACACCAAGGUAUCAUCAGUUUUACUCACCAUUGGAUUCAGUAUCACCAGUACAAGUUUUUUUUUGUUUUUUGUUUUUUUCAGUACAAGCUUUCUAAGGAAAAAUCAUCCGAGUUGAAAAAGUUAUUUUACAAUGUAAAUAAUAUGCUUCAUAAUAGCUAUUACAUUAAAAAAUUCACCCUCAAGUUAUACUCUAAUUGGCAAAUGUAUCACUGCUAACAUUAUUAAGGAAAACAUAUCUAAGAAGCCUAGAUUCUCUUUCUCCAACCAUUUUUGUCUGUCCAAUAUCAAAGCCACGAGACCAGUGAAUAAAUAAGAAAUAUUUAUAAAGGAACACAGAACUGUUUAGCUAAUAAACAUGGGGGGUUGCAUAAAACAAAAAGCAAAUUUCAAAAGAUUUAAUCUCAGAUGAAACUUUAAUCAUCAAACCAUAGAAAAAAAUAUGGAGCCA